RNAcentral lists this ribosomal RNA (586 nucleotides) under uncultured bacterium. RNAcentral's name for it is "bacterial SSU rRNA". It matches the Rfam family "Bacterial small subunit ribosomal RNA", at positions 338 to 916 of the family's 1533-position model. The record is from RNAcentral.
CCUACGGGAGGCAGCAGUGGGGAAUUUUGGACAAUGGGCGCAAGCCUGAUCCAGCCAUGCCGCGUGCAGGAUGAAGGCCUUCGGGUUGUAAACUGCUUUUGUACGGAACGAAAAGACUCUGGUUAAUACCUGGGGUCCAUGACGGUACCGUAAGAAUAAGCACCGGCUAACUACGUGCCAGCAGCCGCGGUAAUACGUAGGGUGCGAGCGUUAAUCGGAAUUACUGGGCGUAAAGCGUGCGCAGGCGGUUAUGUAAGACAGAUGUGAAAUCCCCGGGCUCAACCUGGGAACUGCAUUUGUGACUGCAUAGCUAGAGUACGGCAGAGGGGGAUGGAAUUCCGCGUGUAGCAGUGAAAUGCGUAGAUAUGCGGAGGAACACCGAUGGCGAAGGCAAUCCCCUGGGCCUGUACUGACGCUCAUGCACGAAAGCGUGGGGAGCAAACAGGAUUAGAUACCCUGGUAGUCCACGCCCUAAACGAUGUCAACUGGUUGUUGGGUCUUCACUGACUCAGUAACGAAGCUAACGCGUGAAGUUGACCGCCUGGGGAGUACGGCCGCAAGGUUGAAACGUCAAAUGAAUUGACGG